This 253-nucleotide ribosomal RNA is filed under the name uncultured bacterium. Its description in RNAcentral is "partial 16S ribosomal RNA". It matches the Rfam family "Bacterial small subunit ribosomal RNA", at positions 524 to 776 of the family's 1533-position model. The record is from RNAcentral.
UACGAAGGGGGCUAGCGUUGUUCGGAAUUACUGGGCGUAAAGGGCGCGUAGGCGGUGUGUCAAGUCAGGCGUGAAAGCCCCGGGCUCAACCUGGGAACCGCGCUUGAGACUGGCACGCUCGAGUUCGGGAGAGGAUGGUGGAAUUCCCAGUGUAGAGGUGAAAUUCGUAGAUAUUGGGAAGAACACCGAUGGCGAAGGCAGCCAUCUGGACCGACACUGACGCUGAGGCGCGAAAGCGUGGGGAGUAAACAGG